ACGGAAGGCAGCAGUGGGGAAUAUUGGACAAUGGGGGAAACCCUGAUCCAGCGACGCCGCGUGAGUGAAGAAGUAUUUCGGUAUGUAAAGCUCUAUCAGCAAGGAAGAAAAUGACGGUACUUGACUAAGAAGCCCCGGCUAACUACGUGCCAGCAGCCGCGGUAAUACGUAGGGGGCAAGCGUUAUCCGGAUUUACUGGGUGUAAAGGGAGCGUAGACGGCAAAGCAAGUCUGAAGUGAAAUCCCGGGGCUCAACCCUGGAACUGCUUUGGAAACUGUUUAGCUAGAGUGCAGGAGAGGUAAGUGGAAUUCCUAGUGUAGCGGUGAAAUGCGUAGAUAUUAGGAGGAACACCGGAGGCGAAGGCGGCUCACUGGACGAUCACUGACGUUGAGGCUCGAAAGCGUGGGGAGCAAACAGGAUUAGAUACCCUGGUA
Molecule: ribosomal RNA, 434 nt
Filed under: uncultured Clostridiales Family XIV bacterium
Lineage: Bacteria; Bacillati; Bacillota; Clostridia; Eubacteriales; Clostridiales Family XIV. Incertae Sedis
Description: bacterial SSU rRNA
Rfam family: Bacterial small subunit ribosomal RNA
Source: RNAcentral